Molecule: ribosomal RNA, 466 nt
Filed under: uncultured bacterium
Lineage: Bacteria
Description: SSU rRNA
Rfam family: Bacterial small subunit ribosomal RNA
Source: RNAcentral
AGGACGAACGCUUGCGGCGUGCCUAAGAAAUGCAAGUCGAGCGGAAGUAGCAAUACUUUAGCGGCGAACGGUCGCGUAACACGUAGCCAACCUGCCCAGAAGACCGGGACAACACUCCGAAAGGGGUGCUAAUACCGGAUGUGCCCAUUUUGCCACAUGGCUUAAUGAGUAAAUCAUUUAUGGCUUCUGGAGGGGGCUGCGGCCUAUCAGCUAGAUGGUGGGGUAAUGGCCUACCAUGGCGUCGACGGGUAGCUGGUCUGAGAGGAUGGUCAGCCGGACUGGGACUGAGAUACGGCCCAGACUCCUACGGGGGCAGCAAUUAGGAAUCUUGCGCAAUGGGGGCAACCCUGACGCAGCGACGCCGCGUGGAGGAUGACGGCCUUCGGGUUGUAAACUCCUUUUAUCGGGGAAGAAACAAUGACGGUACCCGAUGAAUAAGCCCGGCUAACUCCGCGCCAGCAGCCGC